GAUGCAGGGCAACAAAAACGCCUGCUCUAGAGGAGAUGUUCAAAUCUGACAUUAAGGAACUGUGUCUUGGCGUGUAAACUUCUAGAGGAAAUAAUGCUGUGCCCACAUCUUCUGCCCACACAGUGUCACGCAUAAAAGGAGCAGUGACUCCACGGUGCUCUUAGGAGGAAACCGGUACCCGGCUCCUGAAUAUCAGAGAUGGAUGGACUGUAGCCCAAAGACUUGACCUUCCAAAUGCCAGCGGCUCUUCCCUACCACCAUUUCGGAGCCUCAGCUGCUUCAUACGGCAAAAAGGAGAAGCAUGACCUCUCAUCCAGCCUUUCGCACAGUGACAGGAGUUGCUUAAAGCAGCCCACGGCCAGGUGAAGACACAAGAAACACCGCUAUUAAGUGUAGCCUAACUUGCUGUUGACAAGGAGGAAGAUCGUUCCUGAAGUGCGAAGUUCUGAGACAGAAGCUAAAUUAACAUCUGUGCCUAUCCUGCCGCCAACCCCUCCUGCAUGAUGAUGGAAAUGGAGCCCUCCGUGCUACCUUAUCAGGCAGAUGUAGAAAAAACAAACAACAAAAAAACCCAGACCCUCCCUUCUCAGGCAAGG
Sus scrofa (pig) is the source of this 596-nucleotide non-coding RNA. NCBI's taxonomy places the organism in Eukaryota, Metazoa, Chordata, Mammalia, Artiodactyla, Suidae. The record is from RefSeq and is a predicted model, not a curated record.